Molecule: transfer RNA, 49 nt
Filed under: Rhododendron sp. Gao20006
Lineage: Eukaryota; Viridiplantae; Streptophyta; Magnoliopsida; Ericales; Ericaceae
Description: partial tRNA-Leu
Source: RNAcentral
AAAUCCGUCGACUUUAGAAAUCGUGAGGGUUCAAGUCCCUCUAUUCCCA